RNAcentral lists this long non-coding RNA (12695 nucleotides) under Populus trichocarpa (black cottonwood). RNAcentral's name for it is "long non-coding RNA (PTRI_LNC000019)". Lineage: Eukaryota; Viridiplantae; Streptophyta; Magnoliopsida; Malpighiales; Salicaceae. The record is from RNAcentral.
CUUUCAUCAAUAAUUCCUUCAAACUCCUUCAACCUCCCAUUGAACUUUACGAAAGCCGCAUUUAUAGCCGGUUCCUCUGUCCAUGCUGGCUCUAUUUGCUGCCCAAGAUACUCCUCAUCGGGAGAAUGAUUUGAUAGCACAUCCAAUAUAGCCAUCACUGUUGUAGCCUGAAUUUGUGAAGGGAAUGUUGUCAAUAGUAUCACUUCAGGUUUCUCCCAAAAUAGUUUCAGCAACUCAUCGUUCGGGUCUUCGGUUGGCAUAUUCAUCCUAGCAGUUGUAGGCCUAUUUGGAAAGUAUCCUGCAUAUGUAUAUUGUCCGAAAUUCACUGCGGCAUGAUGACCGGAGGCUAUCCAUAUGAUAGUUGUCAGGGUUUCAAUAAGGUCCUGAGGUGUUUUAAGCACAGGCCACCAGGGUUCAUCUUUCUUGUCAGCGUGACCUACCGUUCGAACUUCUGUCCACCAUGCUUGGAGCUCAUUAUCAGACACAAUGAGACUUGAGUCUGCAUAGUAGUGAUUGACAUAGUCACUAACCCACUCUUUGAUGAUAUCCCAUAAAACCAAACCAUCAUUGGCAUAUGGAUAGUCUUCCACCAUCAAUUUCAAUCCAUGUGGAGCAGAUGGAUCUUCCACAGCCAUUCCCCUGUCAAUUAUCAGAAUCAGAAAGAAAAUGUUUUAACUAGCAGCCGCUUCAAAAGGCUUAUUAAUUAUGACUAGCAGCAUCUAAGUUUGGUAGAAUGAUAGGCUAGCUAAGGAUCGAUCAAACAUACCUGUUUAUUAGAUCCUUGGGCAGCGCCUCGUAGUCAAACCGCCAUUCUUGAUCAUAGACAACAGAGCUUAAUUCCAUAGAAUACUUGCCAGGAAAGAAUGACGUCUCUAUAACCCCUUUUGCACUAAUUAGAUAUUGUCGAGCUAGAGCAUUGAUCUCCAUUGUGUACCGGAAAUGCGGGUGCAAGAGUCUGUAGAUUGGAUGCAUUUCACUAAGUUGGCGAUUGGCCGCGAUUAUGUAUGGUUCUGUGCAGCAAUGUGUUCUUAGCCUGCAAAAUAUAACAUAUGAUACAUGUUUGUGAAUCGAUUCAAAUCCUAUUUUUUUCAUCGCAACUUCGAACAAACCGAAAAUUUUUGUGCAUUAAUGCAAGGCGGCUGCUAACUCAAGCGCAAGGAAAGUGCAUACCAGUGACUAAUAAGUUGGUGAUAGCCAGACUCAUGUGCAAGGACAUGAGCUUUGGCAAGCCUCCAAAGCCAAACACCAGUGGAAUGCCAAGCUGGUCUAAACACUUGCUUCCAUUGCGGCUUACCAUCCAUCGGUGGUCGAGUGAGCUCAAUAGCUAGUGGUCUCAAUGUUCCUUCAUGGGUUAAGAAGAACAAUGUCCGUGACCCGUAUAGUGUCGUGCCUUUCAGCUCUCUUAUUGUGCUUACGAAAGGUAGGAAUAAAUCAUGGUAGUCAAGGAUGAAAAGCUUCUGAUCUUUUACUGCCUACGUUCAUCAAUGCACCGAAUUUAGUUUGUUAAGAGGAAAAUCAAGAUGAGUUUGAAUACCGUUACGCGAUUGGUUUUCUACUUCAUACCUGUCCACAUGUCAUGAACCCUUUGAUUUCUUGCUCAACCAUUUCUGCAGUGAUUGCUGAUUCUUGGGGACCGUAGAUUUCAGGGUCUAGUUUACUCCUUAAUGGCCAUUCCUGCAUGAUUUAAUGCAAUACUUUCAUCAAGAAAAGAGUAAUGUUUCAGCAUCGUUAGUUUUAAUAUUACCAACAUUUGUGAAUAAUUGAUUCAUUUCUUGAUGAACCGCAUGAACCUGGACUGGUUUUUCCUUUCUUAUUAAUGGACAAAAAUACUAUACCGUGACCAUUUUGAUGCAACAAGGGUUGAGACCAGAAAGAGUCUGUCUAGCAAAUUCUUCAUCCCUGAACCAAAAAAAUCUGUCUCCUGAAACACAAAAACUCUUAAAAUGAGAAAAUGAUAGAUAUCUUUUCAUUUAUGAUUGAUUUAUUAAUUUCCCAUGUCGAAUCUAGUUCUUAUUAUAGGUAUAAAAAAUAUCUUACUCUCCAUGGUAUCAGGAGUCUCAAAUUUCAAGACAUCUUUAGUUCCAUCAGUUAUGGCCCUGAAAAGGUUAGGCAGAAGAUCUUUCCAAAACCCCUGUUUCUUAAGGGGAGGCAAAUUGAUUCCUUCAUUGAAUAGUGCGUCAAUGGAACUGAAGAAUGGGAAUCCAAGUUCACUGUCAACAAUAGCGGUUGAUAGAGAAGGUACUAGGGCAUGCAAUACUGAUUUGAGAGUCUUGGCAGAAAACGUGCCCAUCUUUACUUCUGAGAAUUCUUCAUCUCGAGGCACGUAGAAACUGCUACUCCUUGUCUCCGUAAGUGGAUCUAUCAGCACAAUUGUUUCCAAAUUGUUAGAAUCAAUGAAGGAAAAAAUUAUUUUCCAUGAUUUAGUUAAUAGGUACAGAUUAACAGUUAUAUAUUUGACAAUUUCUUUUAAUAGAUAGGUUUUAGUUUAGUAAUUCUAUUUUAUUUGAUUAUUAUAUAAUGAAAGAAGGAUUAUUUCCAUUAUGUAGAUUAAGAUAAGCCUUUUUUUUAAAAAAAAAAAAAAACAUUUUCUUAUCGAGUUUAUGCAAGCAAAGUUAUUAAAUCUACCCAGUUUAAAGCUUAGGUUAAUGAUUAUACAGAUUAAUCAAGAUUAAUUCAAAAAAAUCAAAAUAUUUUUAUUCAAUUUUAAAAAAUAAAAACUAAGCCACUCAUUUUGAAUCAAUUUUUAUUUUUCGGAUGAAAGGAUCGUAAUUAUUUUUCAAACACAAUCCAACACUAGCUUGGUCAUGGAUCAGACAGGGAAUUUCACUCUAACAAAAUAUUUUUGUUCAAUUUUUUUUGAACAAAAAACUAAGCGACUCGUUUCGAAUUAAUUUUUUUUCAUUAUUUUUCACUCGAACACAAUCCAACACUACUAUUUUUUUCAUUAUUUUUCUGCAUUUACCUGACUCGGUCCGUGGUCGGCCAGUACGGCAACGCCUAGGGUACGGGUGCUCUUUGCCACCUAGCACCGGCCUUGCUGUCUCUGGAUCACUAUCAGGAUUUCCAAGAUCAUUGUACACAUCAUAGUCAUAGAUCCUUUCACCUUUCUUUCGUUCUCCAUUGUCAUUGCCUCGUAAAGUUUCGAGUUCUUCCUUUCUCAGUUUUGUCAAUCCAUUUGGUGUUUCUGAUGGCAAGUAUGACUAUUCCAUGAAACACAAAAAUCAAUCAGUAUAAAAAAUUAUGUUUAGCGGGAUAUUUUAUAAAAUUAAAAUAAUAUUUUUUUAUUUUUUUAAAUUUAUUUUUGAUAUUAACAUAUUAAAAUAAUUUAAUAAAUUUCUUUAAAAAAGAUGUCUAAUAUAUAAAUAUUCAUAUGGAUCGAGGUUUUAUUUUUUUUACCAUAUCCAUGACCUGAAAACUUCACAUGGUAAUAUUCACAUUAUCAUGAGAAAAAAAAAUAUAAUUAAAUCAUGAACGUUGAGUUAAAGCAUAUAAAGUAUACAUAUCAGCUCCCACGAUGGAUUAUAUCUUGUGAUUUUAUCACAUGAAAUCUUUUGUAUUGUUUUUCUAGUUAUUCACUCUUUCAACAAAACGUUUAAUUUAUAUAUAUUAAAAAAAUUAUCCAACAUGGUAAUUAAUUAAUAACAAUGUCAAAUUAAACAAAAAAAAAAGAUCUUGGAUCACAUUAAAGUAAUUAACUGUUAGAGAAUAAUAUAAAUCAUGUCUUGAAAACUCACCUAAUAAUUAAAGUUUUUAAGUUGAGAUGAUUUUUUAACAUGGUAUCAGAGUUUUGAUGACCAAGCUUUGAUGGUUAAGCAGUUACGAGUUCGAAUUUCAUUAUCUACAUCUAUUUGAUAAAAAAAAAAUUAAGUACAAGAUAAUAUGGAUCUAUAUAAUUUUCAAACUCAAAAAUCUUUCACUUAAUAAGAUAUGUUAGAGAAAAAUAUAAAUAACAUCUUAAAACCUUACUUAAUAUCUUAAACUUUUAGGAACUAACCUUAUUAUCAAAAAGUAACUAACCUUAUUAGUGAAAAAGAGUCUCUUCUUUUUAUUGUCAAACUUCGAAUGGAUCCAUGAAUCACAAGUCACAUGAACUGGUCCAGUAGGGAAGCCAUCAAGCACAACAUCAUGAAGGUACAUCUCUUUAUGGUGCUCAUUUUCAACAAAAAUGGCACCAAUCUCUCCAAAAUCUGGUGGAACCACAAAAUCCGCUUCAUACUUGAUAUCCUCCCCUUCAUGAUCUAUCUUGUGUGCGUACUUUCGAAUUGAGGGCUUCUCUAAUCCCGUCUCUAGAGAAAUAAAUAAAUAAAAAAGUUGGAAUUUAGAUAAGGAAUCAACUUUUUUCCUUUUUUUAGGUGGGUACGUACAGCUUUUGUACUUACACAAGUUUUUUCUUACUUCAAUCAUUCAAAUAUAUAUAUAUAUUUCUUUGUAAACAAGGAAUAUAUGUUAAUUUUUUUCAAUAAAUAAAUCAUUCGAUAAGAACUUAAAAAGUUGUUUCUUGCACUUGUAAAGAAAAAAGAAAAAUAAAAUACUUGAAGCACUGGUCUUUCAAGAAGCACUACUUACUUGGGUCAAGCUCCGCACUAACAAGCUCCAAGAGGAGUGUUUUGCCAAACAGGUCUGUAAAAUCAUCCAGUCCUCGUUCUAUCCCUAUUUCUGUCCAAAAAUCAACAACUGUUUGUUUCACAGUCACCACAGCCUUAACAUCUGUGGACUGCUGUGUGACACUAGCUAUAGAUUUAAUGCUUCCAUGUUUAUAGCCAACACGAACUUUUUUGUUUGCUUUAGUGGACAAGGACCUUGAAUACACAGGAAAAGAAGCAUGACCACUGCCAUGGAUGAAUGGUUUAGGUAGUAGAAAAGGGAUUUUUGUUGAAAGGUGUGACUGGUGAAGCUGUGGCUUCAACAUUGUUGCUAAUAGGAGAGGAGAUACUUAGGUUUAACUAGGAGUUUGUUGUAUGAAAAUCUGUAGUGAGCAAGCUAUGAUAUAUAGAACGAGAGAGAGAGAGAGAGAGGAACAUGUUUUUCAUUUGGUCUAUAAUCCAUGCACGUGAUACAUGAAUUAUUGGCUUGCAACUUGCAAGAUAACUAUAUUUGUUUACAGGUUAUCAUAACAUCAUUUACAUGUUCAAAUUCAAAGAAAAUUGUCAAAAAUAAAUUUCUCAUGAAAGAGUGGAUUUUAUUGGUAUUUCUUUUUUCUAUAUAUGCUGAUACGUACAAAGUUAUGAUUGUCCCAAGAAAAUCAAUUCUUAUAAUUUUGUUUAUCUUUUAAAUAUAUUUUAUUACACAGAAAUAUUUGUGUGUACAAGAACCUUAUAAUUAAUAGCUUAGCUUUAAUAUUUAGCUAGAUAGGAAAAUUAUAUCUGCUUGAUAGGGAUUAAUUUGACAAACAUUACGAAGUUGAAGAAUUACUCUAGUCUUCCAUCACAAUGAGAAAUAUUUUUGUGUCAAAUUCUUUGAAACAAGGAUUAAUACCUACGCUAGACUCGAUUCAAAAAUAAGAAUUGAAGAUAUACUUGAUGACAAUACUUUUUUUUUUAGCUUUAAAUGUCUAUUAAGCGAAAGGAUUAACAGAAUAGUAUUCAAUUUCAAUAUUGCACCCCCAAAAAUGAGAUUGUAGCUUACUUGAACGGGAAACCUCCCCCAGCAGCUAAAGUCACUGCUAAAAUAAACUUUAAGUUACACAGACUAUAUUUCGACCACAAAUCGUUAAUGAUCUUAUCUAUCCAUGGAUCCUGUCUCUUACUAACCGCACGUGGAAGGACCACUCUUUUACCUUACAAAUGAUUUAUAGUUUUUUAAUGGGUUUUUUUCUACAGAGGGAUUGAUUUGUUUUGUUUUUUGAAUUUUUUAAAACAAAGAAAAAUCAUCUUGUUUUUUUCAAAUAUUUUAUUGUUAAUCAAACACUACCAGAAAAUUGAUAAAUACAAAUGAAAAUUUGACCACCCCAACAUUCAAUCUGUCAGCAUCCUUGUUCUUAUUAAAUAUUUUUAAAGAUUCCUUACAUCAAGUAAGCAAAACUAUCUAUUUUUUGUUUAAACUCAAUUUGAAAAUUUUAAUUUUUAUUAUAUAUUUUUGUAGUAUAUAUAGUUUGUUUGCGUGUUUACUUGUUUUAUAGCUUCUCCCACAUGAAUUUGUUGUAUGAAUGUAUGGUUUAUACAUGUUAGAGUUUGUUUGAGAUUUUAAAAUUAAAUUUUAAUUUGUUUGUAAUUUGAUGAAAUUGAUUUUGAAUUUGUGACUUAAGUGUUUUCUAAUUAAAUAAAUAAUAGCUUAUUUAAUGAGCCUGUUUUAUAUUUUGACAAUUUUAUUGUUGAGUUGAAAAUUUUGGUAAAUAUAUAGGAAUUUCAAUCUAUGUACAUAAUUGAUAAUGAUUUAAGAAUACUAUUAAAAUAGAUUGAAUAAGUUUGAUUUAAAUUAAUAUUAGCUAAUUUAUUUAGUUUACAAAAUUAAUUAAUAUAUGUUGUCAUCAAUAUUCUAUAUAGGUUUAAUAUAAGUAAUGGAUGAUUGUUCAUGGAUGUAUCGAGAUUCACCCGAAAGGUUGUGCAGGAUGAAUUAUUGUAAUUAGGUUAAGGGUUUUAUUAAUUACAUACUGUCUAAUCCAAAAAAUAUUAGUUGACGCGAUACUAGAUGUCCAUGUAAAAAGUGUAAAAAUAAAAAGUUUCUCGAUCCAGAUGUUAUAACGAUACAUCUUCUACAAUAAGUAUUCAUUGAGAAUUUUUUGUAUUGAUUUGCACACAAAGAACCAUAUGUUUCUUACAAGAUCAUAAUAGAAAAUAUGAUUAGGUCAAUUCUAAUUCUAGAAACGUGUAUGGAGUUGUAGAUUAUAAUAGUAAUUCUUAUAGGAAUAUGGUUAUGAAUGCGAUAAGAAUGAAUCAAGGUCAUGCAAGUGAAUCUCUAGUCAUAGAUGAAAAACCAAAUGCAAACGCAACUAGGUUUUUUUUAUCUUUUGAAAGACUUUGAUGAACCAUUAUGGGAUGAGUGCACAAAUUAUAGUAAACUAUCGAUCAUUGCAUAGAUGUUCACCAUCAAAUCAGAUCAUGGGUUGAGUGAUGAGGUCAGUUACGAGAAAAUUGUUGAAUGAGCCAGAAGCAUUUUACCAGAAAAGAAUAGGCCGAAAGAAAACUUCUAUGUUAUUAAAUCCAUGAUAAAACCUCUCGACUUAGGAUAUUAAAAAAUUGACAUGUGUCCAAACAUCUUCAUAUUGUACUACCUUGAAAAUACAGAGUUGACCGAGUAUAGAGCAUAUGGGCAUGCUUGUUAUAAACCAAAAACUGGCAGGGUAAGGACUCUUAUCGCACAUAAAAAAACUUAGAUACUUCUAAAUCUCUCCUAGAUUGCAAAAGUUAUUUAUGUUUUCAAAGAUUGUUAAACACAUAACAUGACAUCAUUCACAUGAUGUGGUGGAUGAAGUCAUGGUGUUCCUAUUCGAUGAUAAAGCCUUGAAACAUUUUAAUUUGGAGCAUCCUCAAUCUUCAAUGAAAUCAAGGAACAUGUGUCUUUAAAUUUUUAAAUUUUUUCUUUUUUUUUUCUUUUAAAAUUUGAUUUUUUUUUCUAAUUUCAUCCUUCAAUAUUAUAGUAAUUGUUACCAAAUUCUCUCACUAACAAUUUUUUUUUUUAAAAGAAUCAUCAAAAGAACAAAAGAAAAUAUAUUACAGUGAACUAACCAUUCUAUGGGAUCGACUUGAUAAUCAAGGAGAUUUGCUUCAUCGUUUUUUUUUUAAUUCGAAGUUUGAUUAGUUCUUCUAGAUGCGCCAAAUUUUUAAUAGUUCAGAUAAUAUAUUUAAUCUUGAUUGAUAAACAAUCUAAUCCAUGUAUAUAUAAAAAGAAUUUAGUUUAGUUAUAAAAUAAAUAGAUUUAACCUCAAUUCUUCAAAAUAGGUUAAAGAAAAUAAAUUUAUCGUAACACCGUGAUAUAUUAUAAAUAUGCCUGUGGACUGUACAAAUAAUGCAGCAAUUGCAAAAGGGCAUUUAUUUUUUGGGAUGUCAAGUCAGGCAUGGACAAGGUACAUUCAUUCACGUGCAUCAUCUCAUGGAGUCCAGAUAAGACAUUAAAGAGAGAACAAUGGUGCGAUAUAUCCUUGCUUUAAAGUGUUGUCCAACAUGCUUCUUCGUUUUUGACAAUAUGUUCAAACAAGAUAUGGAAGCCAGAAAAUAUGAUAGAAAAUAUCUGUCGUCAUUCAAAGAGGAUCACUCAUUUUUUCCCUUCAUUUUCUUUUGGUACCAUAGUUAUUAAAUCUGAACUGGCUGGGUUGAUUUAAUAGCUGUACUGAUCUAAAUAAAGUAAAUGAUUAGAAAAAGCAAUAAAAUAGUCAAACUCAGUUGGUUUACCAGAUCGACCCAUGACCUGGCAAAACCUAGUUGGGUUUUGAUUUAUUUUAAAUGUGUUUUUUCUCAUAAUUAGAAACUCCUCUUUUUUCAUAUUUUUUUAGUUGUUUAUUAACCUUUUUUAAAGUUCAUUAUAUAAAUACUAAAAGAAUUUUUUUUUUAAUGUGGGAUUUAAAACUGUUUAGUAUAUAUAUUUUAUGUUUACAAGACAAAAAAUUAUUUUUUCAAUAUGGGAUCCGAAGCCCUUUAAUAUAUAUAUUCUAUGUUCACAAGAAAAAAAAUAUGUUUUUUCAAUGUGGGAUAAAAAACUUUUUUGAUUUAAAUACUUCAACUUAAAAGGAUAACAUAAUAUCUUUUCAACAUAAGAUAAAAAAUAUUUUGAAAUAAUAUUUUAAACUUCAUUAUUUACAACAUGUAUAGCUUAUAUUUACAUGAAUUGUUUCUUAAUUUUUUCAUAUGAAAUAUUAAAACUUUAAAUAUAUAUUUUUUUAAUUUUUCCGAGUUAAUUCGGGUUGACCUAGGUCAACCCGUAUAACCCGGGAUCUGACCCUUUAAUCAGGUCAACUCCUAAAUCGAGUUUAAUAACUAUGUUUGAUUCAUCUAAUAUCUUAUUACAUUUUAUUAAUCACCAUAAAUUAUGAUUAAUUGUGAGUAUGUUUUUACUCUAAUCAGCUUCGCAUAUGAAUUCAAAACCUAAUUUCGACUGGUUUUAAUUUCAUAAAAAAAUAAUAAAGAGAUGGGGCAUGUUUUAAUAACUUUAUAAUUUCGUUUAGAUAUUUUUCUUAAAAAUAAAUUAACCUAGAUUAAUUAACUUAUAUAAUCUAAAACCCGAGCGUUACGUCGUAUAUAGUCUAAUAACUAUAAGUUUUUACAAUGAACGAAAGAAAAUGCAAAAAUUAUUGAAAUGGGUCAUCAAUCAGUAUCCUAUCAGCCAAGUACAAGAGAUGGGGCUAGCUAGUUGAUGACGGUGUCUUGUCGUUGAAAAUGAUGCAUAUCUGCUGCAUGUGUUUUUACAUUGAACCAUCAAUCCAUCACCAUCACGGUCUGUAUGGGUUUCCAUGUUGCUAGGUUCAUUUGGUUUUCUGGUUUUUUUUUCUUCGUUAUUCUUCAUUUUUGGGGGUUUGAUCUGUUGUUCAAGUUUUUUUUAAGUUUUUUGUGUUUUUUGCAAGUUCAAUCUAUUUUGGCUUUGGUUUUUGUUUUCGGUUCGUUUUUGGAUCAAAGCAAGAUUUUUUAUUCGGUUCAUGGUCAAACCAUAUAUUUUAAGUCAAUCCAGUCGAGUCAACCUAGUCAGUCAACUCAAUCAAGUUAACCUAGUUAGGUCAUUUAAAAAAAAUCCGAAUCACAAGACUUAUACCCUCUUUGGUUUUGUCAUUUUUUUUUGUUAAGGGUGUCUUGGUUUAAGGGUGUUUGACAAACACCUUUAGACUUAUUUUAUUUAGUUUUAUUACAAAAAAUAGUUUCUUUUACCAAACAAGACUUAAAAAAUAAUAAUAAAUAUUUUUUUUUUUUUUACAUAUGGCUAAAAAUCCAAAAUUUAUUUGAGCAUAUUUUUCAAGAAAAUUUUAAACACUCUUGGCAUUUUUUUUUAAAAAAUAUAUUGCAUGGAUUUUAUAAUUAGUUUGCAGAAUUCUAAAGGAUUUUGGUUUGUAUUUAAUUUUUUUUUUUGCAAGAAAAUAUUAUUCAUUUUUAAUAUAAGGAUAAAAAAAAACCUAAAAAGAGCUAAUAUCCAAAAUAUUAUUAGGAAUAAUAAUUAUAUUAUUUACUUUUAAUAUAAGGAUUAAAAAAAACCUAAAAGGAGUUAAUAUCCAAAAUAUUAUUAGGAAUAAUAAUUUUAUUCCUCACUUUAGUAGAAGGAUAAAAAACCUAUAUGAGGUUAAUAUCCAAAAUAUUAUUGUUAAUAAUGCAACUCAUUCACUUCUAAUAUAAAGAUAAAACCCAUAAGAAAUUUUAUCUAAAAUAUUAUUUGGAAUGACGUAGCAACCCAAAAAGAAUUUAAGUUUUUCCUUGAAAGAAGUCUCAACAAUAAUUGAGGAUAUUUUACUUUUCCAGACUGGGUUCUUGACCUAGAAAAUUAAGAUUUGUUCAUUGUAGCGGACCCCUCAUAAUAAGUCAGUAGAAAUAGAUAUCAUCAGACCAUAGCAAACAAUAAAAAAAAAUGAAGCUUACCCUUAGGUAAGGCGUUUAGGAAUGCUAAUACUUUCCUUUUAUGUAAUCAAUUUCUUGCUUAAAAUAUAUAUAAAAAAAACACAAAAACUAGUUAGAAUUCCUAACAAUAAUAUUAAUUAGAUUGCAACUCUCUACCCAAAUCAAAGACCAUUCUAAAAGACAUUGCUUGAGAAUUGUCACCGCGACAUCACGCUAUCGCUAGAAGGGUAUCAGCAUUAAGUUGGUAAACGUAGUACAAAUUUGAAUAUACGAUUUCUUUUCGGUCAUUGAAAGGCGAGAAUCAUGGUGAAGGAACUUUAUUUAAUUCCUUUUUUAUGCUUAUAUUUAUGAAAAAUUAACAUUUUUUUUUCUUCUAUUUUUGUUAGUGUUGGAUAUAAUCUCAAAUCUUUAUUUUUUGUUUCCUUUUUAUGCUUUUGGAUUUUGAUAUUUUGGGGGAUGGAAUUUGAGCUGUCCAACGAAGAGAGGAUGAAAUAUCUGAUAGGCCAAUGGUAGAAUGACAUGUGGAUGAAGUUGCUAGGGUUUAUCAAAUUUGUUUUACUCCAUUACUGGCAAGUAUUUUUUUUAUAAUACUUUAUGAUUUUAUGUACUUUAUCAUGCAGAAUAUGGCAUUUUAAAAAAUUCCAAAAAUUCAUUUUGUCACAUGAAAGAGACUAUUGGUUAAUUUGUCAGCAUUUAAAUAACUUACAAAAUUAAUGUCCCUAUCCUACUUUUGUUUUCUAUUGUGCCUUUGUCGUUGAGGGAUUCUAUUCGACUAUUCAAAGAAAGGGAAGAAUAUUCAAACUUUUCUUUGACUAGCUGUUUAAAAUAGAUUAUGCUAAGAAAUUUUUGUUUUGCAGUAAUAAAAUCCGAUGAUUAAACCGUUUGUAAUUUUUUAAAAAAUGAGAUUGAAUCCUUCAUUGUAGAUCGGUGUAGAAAUUAUAGAUGAAAUUUUUGGAUUGGUAGGGUAUUAAUUGUUGUAUCUCCUAUUGUGUGGAUGAUUUAUUACAUUAGUGGCCCAACCUAGUAUUUGAAAAAUUCCAGCGUAAGGCUUGAUCUAUGCUUUCUUGUUGUGUUAGCUGGAGUAUAUGGCUUAUGAGAAAUAAUAUUAUCUUCAAUAAUAGAACUGCGACCUUCAAAGAUAGCUUCCCCUUAAUUCUAUAUCGUCUCUCGAAUUUGCUCAAGUUUAUAGAUAAGUUCUUCAUGGUUACUGGAACAUAUUUGAUUAUGGGGCUUGAAGGUAUUAUAAAUUCAUCUAACAACACCAAAUCAAGGUUUUAAGCAUGAUGCAUAAGCUCUUUCAGUCUCAAUAUUUUUUUUUCUGAUUUGUUUUGCUUUUUUUUUUUUUUGUCUGCUUUUAGUUUUUGUAAAUUUUUUUUCUUUUUUUUUUCUUGUAUCUUGCUUUUGGCUAUCUUCUAGUUAGCCCUUUUCAUAUAUCGAUUUCUUUCAAAAAAACAAAAAAAGGAAAUAAUGUUCAAUCAUAGGGUAUCUCUCGACCAAAAUCGGUGAGGCUGAUCAGUUUACACCAAGGUACUCUUUUUAUAAUGUUCGCAUAUAUGUGUUUAUACAAUGUUAAAAAUGUUCAACAUUCAUCAAGAAUAUGAUAUAAAUUAUUUUAGUAAAUCCUCUAAAAAAAUACCAUUAAAAACAGAAUUAUUUUCACUAAUAUGUUUUUUUUCCUUGUUAUCUAAUCAAAAGUUAAUUGUUAUUAUAUGAUAUGAAAAGAAAAUUAACAGAAUGACAGGUAGCUCCCCUCUAGUCCACAAAUCCUGAAAUAUUUCUGGCUAUAAGAUCAAUAAACGGGAUAUUCUCAAUUAUUCUAUGGGAAAGAUAUCGAUCAAUUACCUACAACCCUGUAAAUCCAAUGUUGGUCGACUAAAGCUAAUCGAUUAAAUUCCUUCGUUAAAUCUACAGGGAUUGCUUUCAAUUAUCUGAUCUUUUAGGCAAAUGCAAGAAGAAACAACUUAGCGCAACACUAUUCCACCAUAUUGUUUUAUUUUUUUUUCAUACCAUUACAAGUUUUCAAACUUCAGAUAGAGAUGCUGUAAGGAACUCCUUUUCCUGUAACUCCAGGGUCAGAAAAUGGCUUCAAAAGCUCAUAAGGCACAACGCCAGCUCCGUUUCUAUUCUUCAAUUUAAUGUCAGCAUUCCUUUCAUCAAUAAUUCCUUCAAACUCCUUCAACCUCCCAUUGAACUUUACGAAAGCCGCAUUUAUAGCCGGUUCCUCUG